Molecule: ribosomal RNA, 478 nt
Filed under: uncultured Actinomycetes bacterium
Lineage: Bacteria; Bacillati; Actinomycetota; Actinomycetes
Description: bacterial SSU rRNA
Rfam family: Bacterial small subunit ribosomal RNA
Source: RNAcentral
GACGAACGCUGGCGGCGUGCUUAACACAUGCAAGUCGAGCGGAAAGGCCCCUUUCGGGGGGUACUCGAGCGGCGAACGGGUGAGUAACACGUGAGCAACCUGCCCUCGACUCCGGGAUAAGCCUGGGAAACCGGGUCUAAUACCGGAUACGACUCAUCACCGCAUGGUGUGUGGGUGGAAAGUUCCCUCGCUCUUUGUGGGGGUUCGGUCGGGGAUGGGCUCGCGGCCUAUCAGCUUGUUGGUGGGGUAACGGCCUACCAAGGCGACGACGGGUAGCCGGCCUGAGAGGGCGACCGGCCACACUGGGACUGAGACACGGCCCAGACUCCUACGGGAGGCAGCAGUGGGGAAUAUUGCGCAAUGGGCGGAAGCCUGACGCAGCGACGCCGCGUGAGGGAUGAAGGCCUUCGGGUUGUAAACCUCUUUCAGCACCGACGAAGUUUGGACGGUAGGUGCAGAAGAAGCGCCGGCUAACUAC